Molecule: ribosomal RNA, 416 nt
Filed under: uncultured bacterium
Lineage: Bacteria
Description: partial 16S ribosomal RNA
Rfam family: Bacterial small subunit ribosomal RNA
Source: RNAcentral
UAUUGGUCAAUGGCCGCAGGGCUGAACCAGCCAAGUCGCGUGAGGGAUGACGGUCCUAUGGANUGUAAACCUCUUUUGUCAGGGANNAANNNGNGCCACGUGUGUCGUUUUGCGACUACCUGAAGAAAAANNNUNANCUAACUCCGUGCCAGCAGCCGCGGUAAUACGGAGGAUGCGAGCGUUAUCCGGAUUUAUUGGGUUUAAAGGGUGCGCAGGCGGAAUGUCAAGUCAGCGGUAAAAUUUCGGGGCUCAACCCCGUCGUGCCGUUGAAACUGGCGUUCUUGAGUGAGCGAGAAGUAUGCGGAAUGCGUGGUGUAGCGGUGAAAUGCAUAGAUAUCACGCAGAACUCCGAUUGCGAAGGCAGCAUACCGGCGCUCAACUGACGCUCAUGCACGAAAGCGUGGGUAUCGAACAGG